AUUGAACGCUGGCGGCAGGCCUAACACAUGCAAGUCGAGCGGCAGCGACUUAACUGGACCUUCGGGGAACGUUAAGGGCGGCGAGCGGCGGACGGGUGAGUAAUGCCUGGGAAUAUGCCCUGAUGUGGGGGAUAACUAUUGGAAACGAUAGCUAAUACCGCAUAAUCUCUUCGGAGCAAAGAGGGGGACCUUCGGGCCUCUCGCGUCAGGAUUAGCCCAGGUGGGAUUAGCUUGUUGGUGAGGUAAUGGCUCACCAAGGCAACGAUCCCUAGCUGGUCUGAGAGGAUGAUCAGCCACACUGGAACUGAGACACGGUCCAGACUCCUACGGGAGGCAGCAGUGGGGAAUAUUGCACAAUGGGGGAAACCCUGAUGCAGCCAUGCCGCGUGUGUGAAGAAGGCCUUCGGGUUGUAAAGCACUUUCAGUAGGGAGGAAGGUAGUGCAGUUAACACCUGCAUUAUUUGACGUUACCUACAGAAGAAGCACCGGCUAACUCCGUGCCAGCAGCCGCGGUAAUACGGAGGGUGCGAGCGUUAAUCGGAAUUACUGGGCGUAAAGCGCAUGCAGGCGGCCUGUUAAGUCAGAUGUGAAAGCCCGGGGCUUAACCUCGGAAUUGCAUUUGAAACUGGCAGGCUAGAGUCUUGUAGAGGGGGGUAGAAUUUCAGGUGUAGCGGUGAAAUGCGUAGAGAUCUGAAGGAAUAUCAGUGGCGAAGGCGGCCCCCUGGACAAAGACUGACGCUCAGAUGCGAAAGCGUGGGGAGCAAACAGG
Molecule: ribosomal RNA, 769 nt
Filed under: uncultured bacterium
Lineage: Bacteria
Description: bacterial SSU rRNA
Rfam family: Bacterial small subunit ribosomal RNA
Source: RNAcentral